GGGCUGGUCGAAAGACCCUGGUCCACCGAAGGCGGGGGAAUCUCCC
This 46-nucleotide small RNA is filed under the name uncultured Flexilinea sp. RNAcentral's name for it is "DUF3800-XI RNA". It matches the Rfam family "DUF3800-XI RNA". Rfam says of the family: Actinobacteria, Firmicutes, Proteobacteria, Spirochaetes (1 example). Nearby to DUF3800 The record is from RNAcentral. Lineage: Bacteria; Bacillati; Chloroflexota; Anaerolineae; Anaerolineales; Anaerolineaceae.